UGUUUGUGCGUAUAAACUCUCAAGGAUGAC
Molecule: non-coding RNA, 30 nt
Filed under: Rattus norvegicus (Norway rat)
Lineage: Eukaryota; Metazoa; Chordata; Mammalia; Rodentia; Muridae
Source: RNAcentral